CGUUGCAGGCUCGCAUUUCUCCAAGGUUAUCAGCCAGGACUGCAAUGGAGUAAUUGCACACCUGUCCACCAUAUUUUGAUGGUGUACUCCUACUAAUAAUAAUUUAAUAAGAACAAUGAUGAUGAUAAUUCAUUGGAGGUGCUUGCAUGAGUGGGUUAUGAUAUGUGUUUUUGUAUAUUAGUAGGUCGUAGUGGGGAUAUGAGCCUUUUAUCUAUGAGAUCAUAAAUUCAGAAUGAUGAAACAAAUUAGCAAAGACGAGAUCUUUGCUUAGAGGGGGGAAAAUUGAAAAAUAUUAUGAAUCGGAGAUUAUCAAGAAAAUGAAAUACGUACCCAACUUUUAGUCAUGUUUGAUUCCUAGAAAAUACCAUUGAAAGACAAAAAUUUGUUAAGAAAAAUAAUUUUCUCAUACUCAAUUAUGAUAUAAAAAAUAGAAAAAAAAAGUCUAAUAUAAUUAAAAUUAAUAAGAAGAUCAUAUAUUUUUAAAUUAUUUAAUUUUUACAUCAAAGAGUUAAAUAGAUAAAAUGAAUUUAGAGUAAUAUAUAAAAAUAAUUUAUUGACUUUAAAACUUUUUUUUUUUCUCUAUUUUCUUUUCCACACAUUUCUCUUCGAACUUUUUAGAACCAAACAUAGCCUUAAUGAUGGAUACCUAUUUGGAUACAUUUUAUAUAAAAAUAUUUUAUCAUAUAUAAGUAAAAUAGAAACUAAAAAUGUAUUAAAUACAUCAAAUGUAUCUAUUUUUUCUCUUUAUUUUUUUUAUUUUUUAUUUUUUUAUCAUUUUCCCUUAUAUAUUAUCUAGAACUAAACAUAGCAUAAGUUUAUGUUCUUGUAAAAAUUGAGGGAAGUAAAAUAUGGAGGAGAAAGAGGAAAAGAAAAAGGUAAGAAAAAAUUAUAGAAUUUUUAUCUUAUAUUUAAAAAUUUUGAGGGAAUAAAUAAAUAAAUUAAUAUAGAGGAAAAUGCAUGGAGCCAUGAGUGGAUAUGGAUGAAGUAAUGGGGUAAGAAGACUAGGAUUGCAGUGAUGAAUGGAGAGGUGGGGUUGAGUAGGUGAUCAUGAGAGGGAAUGGAUGGCAAGAGUAUGGAGAGGCGCAGGCUGAUUGGUGGGACAAACGAGGCUGGCCAAAUAUGGAGUGGAGAGAGAGAGAGAGAGAGAGAGAGGGAGGGAGGGAGGGAGGGAGAUAGGGAGCAAAAUAGGAAGUAAGGAAUGAGAGAUGGGUAGUGUUGGUGUUAUGAAUAUGGGGCAGUGAAAAGCUAGGGAAGUUGUUGAGGUCGUAGGGAAGUAACCAAAGUGGGAAUGUGUGAGUGGGGGAUGAGGAGGUUUCCAUAGUUGGCUGAAAGACACAAUCAAACGACGAUUUAUUGUCAAUAAUGUGUGAAAUAUCUAUGAGAUAAACAACAAUUUUAAACGUGAAGUAUCAAAAGUGGUGGGGGUAAGGAUGCCCAAUUAAUGAAGUAGUGUGAGUUCUGUUUUGACGAUGUACGUCGAUUGUGAUAUCGGCCCAGGCAACGUGUUAGGUGUAUAUGGAGGUCAGAUGAAAUGUUGGAUCUUCAUUAAAUAUUAUCAGUAGAAGAUUUAGAAAAAAUUUCAACAAUUUUCUUAAACUUUGGAAAGAAUGUGAUAACUUAAAAUUUAUACAACAAAGGGACAAUCAUGAAUAUUUGAUGAAGUGAUCAAAUGAUCAAGUGAGUAUGAAGACUAUUUUGAGAGGCAAUGCAAAUUAUUGAAUGACAAGUGACUAUGGUGGUGUUUGUUUUUUUGGUUUAAUUCUAAAUAGAACUUACAUUUAACUUAAUACUAAAUAAUGUUUAAUAGUAUUAAGUAUUAAGUUGUUUGAUUUUUUAAUAUUUCUAUUAAGUGUUAAACACUAAUAUCUUAAUAUUUUAAUGUAUUAAAAAAAAAAUAAUUUAAAGUAUUUCUAAAAAGUUCAAAAUAAUAAAAUUGUUAUAAUAAAUAAUUUAUCAUUAUUAUCCUUACAAAAAAUAAUUAAUAUAUUUAUUUUUUAUAUAAUUAAAAUAAAAUAUUUAAACUUAAUAAUCUAAAAAAUAAUGGAUUGAUAAAACCUAAAUCAAAUCAAAGAAAAAAACAUAACAAUUCAAGUACAUAUUUUCAAAUAUCAAAACACAUCACAUUUUAUGCUAAUAUCUAAACAUUGCAUUUCUUACAAUGGUAAAAAGCUAAAAAUGACAAGUUAAUUAAAUACUUGAAAAAGUUCAUUUGUGAUUUGGUCUCAAAACCGUUGCAUGAAUUCUUGAUCAGAUGCUGCAAAAAAACUACUUGUAGUUGAAUUUUGAUUUUGAUUUGUAUUGUCACUUUCCAAUUCCACUUCAUUGUCAUAUUCAGAAAAUAAUCUAUCUGCAACUGAGAUUUGUCGAAGAAAAUUGUGAAUGGAGAAGCAUGUCAUGACAAUUUUUGUUUGAGUAGUAAACAAAUAAGGUGUCAUUCUCUUUAAUAUUGGGAAACACGCCUUAACAACACCAAAAGCACGUUCAAUGACAUUUCUUAAUCUUGCAUGACAUUGGUUGAAUAUCUCCCUUUUUCCUCUAGCUUUAUCAUCACUAUGAAAAUCACUCAACCCAAAUUAAAUUCAAAUAGUAGCAUUAAAUUAGAGAUGAUAAAUAUAUAGUUUGGAUAAUGGAAGAAUAGACAACAAAUAUCAAUCCAUUCACAUCUAACCAUUCUAUGUAGAGAAUGAAUUCAUCUAACACAAGAAGCAUUAAAACCCAAAUUAUGCCAACAACACCUAAAGACAGUUUAUAAAAACUGUCCAAAGUCCCUUAAGAUGAUUUUUUUUAAAGCAUUCAAAUAUGGACAUGCACAAAGAGGAAGGUAGGAAGGGUGGGAAGCAUAUAUAUAUAUAUAUAUAUAUAUAUAUAUAUAUAUUUUUUUUUUUUUUCAUUUCUAAAAUUAUUGCCACCUCCAUCUGGUAGUUGGCUGACAAACCAACACCAAAUGAGCUGGGUCAGUCCCAACUGAAAUCUGCUCUGUGACCCGGGAGAGCUGCACUUGUGAGAGGAGUGUGAGAAAGAGAGAGAGAGAGUGAGGUGUGUGUGAAAGAAAUGGUCUGAGUUGUUUGUGAAAUGAAAUAAACCUCCUAUAGUCUUUAGACUGAAUAAUGGUUGUGUGCAGUGCAGAAUUCAGAUUGUGGAUGGAUAAUCAAGUGAAAGAAAAGCAAAACAAGGGGUUCAUCUCAUUGAUUGACAAUGCUGUUCCUCUAUAUGACCGAGAAUAUGCAUUGGGUCUAACUUCAAUGGAUUAUUUGAAUAACCUGGAAAGGUAAUGGAUUUACAUUUAAUAUGUGUAUUGCUGCUUCUUCAGAUAUAUAUGCAAUGAAAGAUUAAAAAAAAAGAAUAAAAAAUUAAAACAUAAAUAUAUAUAGGUGUUUGACACGGUUACCUCUUGAAUUUUAUCCCGCAACAUUUCUGUGUGCUGCAAUAUCACUGUUGGUUUUAAGAUUGUUGUGAGUGAUUGACACAGAAAAGUUUGACAGUUUUAUUGCAUAAACUUUGGCAUGCUUGGGUGAUAUCAUCUUCUGUGGUUGAAAAAGUCUUAAUGCUCAUUACCAUCAGAUCCCUAGCUCCCCUCCUAAUGUCUUAAUGCCUGGGAUAGGGUUGUGACUUUUUCACAUUACAUGGAUGCUUCAGAUUUUGUGGAGUACCUUUUCAGGCAUGAUAAGUGAGCAUGGAAUGAGACGUGUGUUUAGAUUUUCUCCUUUUCAGAUCCAGGAUCAAAUAAAAAACAAGGGAGUACUGAACUUUAACAAUUCUUCCAAAAUAGUAUGAAAAAAAACAAAACAAAACAAAAAACAAUCUUCUCUAGCUGUUUUCAACUACCCUCUUUCCUCUGUUCUUUCACAUGUAUACUAUUUUCUUCAUUUGUUUUAUCAUUUUCAUCCAUCUGUAACAUGUUGGGUGCUCAGUUUUCUUCACUAAGUAUGAACAAAGAAGUCCUCCUAGGGAGUCAUUGUCUCUAAUUAUCAUCCACCCCUUUUAGUCUAUUACCCAUUAUUUAAUGGGGCAUGAAAAGACCAUCCCCAAGAAAAUGACAUCAUGUUGGAGCAUUGACGUGCCCAAACAACAUUGGUUUGCCUGUGCCUACACCAGAGAUUUGUUUGGCAGAGUGAAAUCAAAUUUUACUUUUUGUACUUGUUUGAUUUACCUCUUAACAAGUGUGGGAUUCCAUAAACUAAACACUCUCCUCAAUAGAAGAACAGAUUUGUCGUGCAGUUGAAAACUCCUCUCCAUUCAAUUUAUGAGUUCAAUAAUAGCUGACUUGGAGAUUGCUAGUGUGGUCUCAACAACCAUGUGCAGUAGAUGAGAAAAUUCUUGGAAGUGAUUUCGUGGAGUAUAAUCAUGUGAUUCUAGAAGCUAAAGACACCCAGAAGCUAUGUUCAGGUAACCCAGGCAAAAGAAAGCUUUACAACCCUUAAUAUCUUUAGCCCAACUCUUGAUUGAGUUGAAAUAACCUGUUCUCUCCUACUUAAAGACACCCUUUUUAUACACAAAGUUUUUCGAAAUUGUCAGGAAUGUCAAUAGGUAUAAUUAUUUUGCUGAAUGUUGAAGUAUUCUAAAUACUCAAGGUUUAGCCUAUUCAUAAACAUUUCAUCCAAGUUCCAGAGUCUUAACACUACCCUCUAGAGGAUCACAAAUGUUCCAUGCCCAUCUAAUGAGGGUUUUGGACAGUGCCAUUAGCAAUUUCCUAAACACAGUUGGAGCCUUACUCUAGAACCAUCUAUAAAUCCUGGCAGAGGAUUCAUUUCUGUAAUUCACACUUGCCUAUAUAGGUGCCAGGAAUGUCAAAAGACACUACACAACUGCUGGUGUGCCCCAACCAAUAAGGUGCAAUGUAGAACAGAAAUGUCUUUGAGUGUGUUCUUAGGAAAAAACAAAAACCAAAAUGACCCUUCAAUCUACACACAUGAAUGCAGCCUUGUUUCAUUUGACAACAUCCCACUAUAUUUAACAUGGAGAGAUUUUACGACAAAUAUAUAUCACACUACUUUUAUUCCCAGAAACCAGGUUUUCAUCAAGUUAUGGUUCUGGGAGUAAAUCAAACUCCUCAUGCUUGGGAGGAAUAAUUUUAUUUUUGAUUAUCACUUCACACAUGCACACAUAUACAUUUGAUUAUCACAAUAGAAAAGAUUGUUUCCAGCAACCAAGUACAAGUGAAUGACAGAGCUUCACUUUGCUCAUUGGACAAGUGAAUGACACAGUACAUGAGCAACAAAAAACAAUUCAAGCAGGCAGAAAACAGCCCACAAAAUCACACAUAGUUCUUCAAAGCUAGAACCGAAACACACGAAUGCAUUCACAAAACCCAUGAGCAUCUCUACAAAAUUCAUUGAACCUGUAAACCCAUCAAAAGUGACUUGGACAAAAAGAAACCAGAUCACUCAAAAAAAUAAAAUCUGCAUUUUAGUUCAAUUAGAUUCUAAAAAAUUCCUAUUAUCUUUUCCUUUGUAGGUUCCAAACCCACUCCUACAAGAUCAAAAUUCCCCACAAAAUCCCAAAAUAAACCAUUGGCAUGAGAAUCAUAAAGAAUCAUACUAGAGAAGAUAUUAAUAAACCAUUUCCAAACAGAAAACAACUACCUAUGGUUUAACCCCAUUGUUGAGAAAGAGCAAGAACGAAAACUGAAACCUAAAUAAAGAGAGAAAAUGGGGAAGACAUUACCUUGAAAAAGCUUGGUGAGGGUUGUGGAACCAAUGAGCUACACAGGGAUGAGGUGAGGGUUGGGGAUCACCGGUUGCAAUUAAGACUAGAGAACUACAAGGGAUGGACGUUAGGCGUUGGGUUG
Molecule: long non-coding RNA, 5788 nt
Filed under: Vitis vinifera (wine grape)
Lineage: Eukaryota; Viridiplantae; Streptophyta; Magnoliopsida; Vitales; Vitaceae
Description: long non-coding RNA (VVIN_LNC005267)
Source: RNAcentral